Molecule: ribosomal RNA, 561 nt
Filed under: uncultured bacterium
Lineage: Bacteria
Description: bacterial SSU rRNA
Rfam family: Bacterial small subunit ribosomal RNA
Source: RNAcentral
CCUACGGGAGGCAGCAGUUGGGAAUCUUGCGCAAUGGGGGGAAACCCUGACGCAGCGACGUCGCGUGGAGGACGAAGGAUUUAGGUCUGUAAACUCCUUUUUCAGGGAAAGACUUAGGACGGUACCCUGAGAAUAAGCACCGGCUAACUACGUGCCAGCAGCCGCGGUAAGACGUAGGGUGCAAGCGUUGUCCGGAUUUACUGGGCGUAAAGGGCGCGUAGGCGGUCUGUUAAGUGUAGAGUGAAAUCUCCAGGGCUCAACCCGGAAACUGCUCUGCAUACUGGCAGACUUGAGGGACGAAGAGGUAUGUGGAAUUCCUGGUGUAGCGGUGAAAUGCGUUGAUAUCAGGAGGAACACCCAUGGCGAAGGCAGCAUACUGGUCGUUUCCUGACGCUGAGGCGCGAAAGCGUGGGUAGCAAACAGGAUUAGAUACCCUGGUAGUCCACGCCCUAAACGAUGGAUACUAGGCGUCGGAGGUAUCGACCCCUCCGGUGCCGCAGCUAACGCAUUAAGUAUCCGCCUGGGGACUACGGCCGCAGGUUGAACUCAAGGAAUUGACGG